CGAUACAUGCCCCUCCUCUACCUCAACCUCGGCCUUGGCCUCUCCCAGCUCUAGCAGGGUGCAUGGGUGUCUACUCGGUUGAUCUGGUAGUGCGUUUCCUCACCAUCUGUGAGAGAAUAAAAUUAUAAAGGCUCAAACUUCAAAUCAAUAAAUCUGCAUGACAGGAAUAAAAAAAGUGUAGUUUUCCUAAUAGUUCCUAAGCCUCCUAAUGAUAAGUACAGACGUCUUCGUACCGAUUUGCAGGACUCUACUAAACUUGUUUGUGACUCGUAGAACCUACGAACCUAGAGCUCUAAUACAAACUUGUAACAACCCAAUAUCCCGCCUUAUGCGUCGUGAUGGCACCUAUUAUCUAAGGCUAGGUAAGUCGAUUACUUAC
Molecule: long non-coding RNA, 379 nt
Filed under: Nicotiana benthamiana
Lineage: Eukaryota; Viridiplantae; Streptophyta; Magnoliopsida; Solanales; Solanaceae
Description: long non-coding RNA (NBEN_LNC014122)
Source: RNAcentral